RNAcentral lists this ribosomal RNA (253 nucleotides) under uncultured bacterium. RNAcentral describes it as "partial 16S ribosomal RNA". It matches the Rfam family "Bacterial small subunit ribosomal RNA", at positions 524 to 776 of the family's 1533-position model. The record is from RNAcentral.
UACGGAGGGGGCUAGCGUUGUUCGGAAAUACUGGGCGUAAAGCGCACGUAGGCGGCCAAGUAAGUCAGGGGUGAAAUCCCGGAGCUCAACUCCGGAACUGCCCUUGAAACUGCAUGGCUAGAAUACUGGAGAGGCAAGUGGAAUUCCGAGUGUAGAGGUGAAAUUCGUAGAUAUUCGGAAGAACACCAGUGGCGAAGGCGACUUGCUGGACAGUUAUUGACGCUGAGGUGCGAAAGCGUGGGGAGCAAACAGG